RNA transcript from Cercocebus atys (sooty mangabey), 4755 nucleotides. RefSeq lists it as uncharacterized. NCBI's taxonomy places the organism in Eukaryota, Metazoa, Chordata, Mammalia, Primates, Cercopithecidae. The record is from RefSeq and is a predicted model, not a curated record. The transcript has 9 exons.
ACAGAAGCCUUGGGAUUAAUAAUUACUUUGCUAAAAAUGAUGAAUUCUUGGCUGGUGUGUUUGCAGGGAUCGGGCUGUGAGUCCCUGAAUGGCUGGAACCCUGGCAGAGAGGAGCCCGGAGUGUCGAAAGAGGGGCAACACAGACCAGAUGCAUCCUACAGAGACGGGAGGACUCCGAGCUUGGGGAAGAGACAGUUAAAGCUUCCCCGUGAGAGCGAGUUAUAUCAUGCAGCGCCAGUGCCAGGUCAGCAGUCUGGCUGGAGCUGGACCGGCUGGUGGCGCCAGGCAGUGCCAAGCACCCCUGGCAGCCCUGCAGAGGGUUCUCAAAUCCAGAUUUCAUUCUGCAGUCCCGGCAGUGCUUUGACGACUGCCUCACUAAAGGAAGCUAAAAGCUGUGCCGAUGCCUCCCAGACGAGCCUCGUUGGAAGCACAGAACCUUCACGACUCGGAGCCGCUGACACGGUGACAAAGGGAGCCCUGCUCAGGAGAAAGAGUAAAUGAGAAGAAGUAGCACUUCUUCAGGUGUCAGGCUGGAGGAAGCCACUUGAAGAUAAGUCUACAUCUGCCUUAGGAUUGCCUGGCGGCCUGCGCCAUUCCGUGUUAUGUCUACUUAUUUGCUCCCUGUAUUCAAUGAUUUUUUUUUUUACUUAAUUCUCUCUUACUGACCCUGAGAGUGACCAUAUUUUUAACCAAUUUGGUCUUCAGCCUCAAAACUUAGCUCUUUCCUUUUGGGGUCCCUGAAUCCUACCACGUGUCAUGGUGGCUGUGAAGAUGUUUGCCAAGCCUGCUGAAAAGACUCAUCUGUGGCAUCUGAGAGCACAGAUUUCAACUCUGGACCCCUGUAAACUGCCUUUGGAAUUAUGGACACCCAGCACUGUUUUGAAAUAUCAGUGGACAUCCAGUUUUUAAAAGCCCUCAGAGCUUUGGGAGGCACCCCUUUAUCUCUCUGGCAUGUCAGAGAACCGAUUCAACCCUUCUCAUCUCCUCUUCCUUCCCUCUCUUGGGCAAUCAGGAUGCAGCAGCAACUCACUGUGCAUGUUUUUACAGCUCUUCUCCAGUAAUGCUGCCAUUUCCACUGCAGACCACAGGAUAAAAAGGACCACUUCACAGUGGCCCAGGAUACCCUUUUAAGUAGGAGAGAGGAUUAUUGGCAACUGGCACCACCCCCACGUCUGGAGGAGGGACGUUUCUAGGAUGACCCCCAGAGUGGAGAAAUAGCCGAGAUAACAAAAUGUAUCUACCCUCUCCAAGAGUGUAAACUAACCUGGUGGCUGGAAAAAACAAACAAACAAACAAACAAAGAUCUGUGAAGAAAGAUCUGACUUUUCAACUGGCGCAUACCGUUCCUUGAAACAGAGGUGAUAAACAGCCCUUAACAGAUUGCCUGGUGUCCGCCCACAUUGGUGAGGGUGAUCUUCUUUGCUCAGCGUACUGAAUCAAAUGCCAGACUCUUCCAGAAGGACCUUCACAGGAAUGAGUGUCUGAAAGAAGCCUUUUCUGAUUCCCUGCAAAAGUUCAUUCAUCAGGAGGAAGGGGAGUCAUCCCAGCCUUCACCACCUGUGGAACGCAGCAACCUCACUGUGGAAGACACCAGCAGCCUGUUCCUCCCAAGAAUGAGCCGCAGAGGGUGUUGCCCGCAGCAGGAGGGAGCCGAUUCUCAUCUGAGAACAAAGUGACUUGAUGAAUUCUACAUUUUAAAGAGCCUGGACGCAGCUGACCUUAAUGUUUAUUCAAUCAGUGCUGGGAAGGAAGCUAACAUUCAAAGGUGCUUUGCUCUGCUUGCCUCCAGGACUGGGGCAGGAGAAUGCCUUGUACAGUGUGCUUUGUGCUAUUAUGGUCAAACUGGCAUAGUCAGCCAAAAGAGAGGCGCCCACAUAGAUCCCCCAGAAGAAGUCACUGAUGUGGAGGUGGCAAAGUGUAAGAAAGACAGAACCAAUCUGGGUCAACUGGGUUAGACAGAGAUCAGCUCUGCACUCCUAAGGCCAUGGGAACCUGUUCCUGAAUCUGUGGAGCGUCGAUUUUCUGUUCUACUCUGAGUCCUACUAUAAUUAGAAGCAUCAUUAUGUGGAAGGGAAUUCCCAGCGGUUCCUAAACAUCCUUCUCCUCCUUUAACAAAUAAAGACAUAUGCAUCUUGCAUUAAUACUGUGGAAUAAAUAAUGAAUUAUAAAUGGAAUAGAAAUUAUAAUACAGUGAUGUGAUGUCUGCACAGAUUUUUAUGGUCCCCGGAGUCAGUCCCUUUAGAGAUGUACAUUAUUUUCUCUAUUUAAAGAUAUUCACAACUCUUUGUUAAUCCAGCUCACCAUACUCAUCUAGGGACACUGGGAGGGAAAAUGUAUUUGGAAUUCUAUGGGCUCCAUUCUUCCAUUGCUUUUCAAUUAGAGACACCAUUCGUCUUGUGUGUUUUAUCUCUUGGAGCGUUCUCCCACGUGCUGCUGGAAGAUAACACUCUUUUCAGGUCUCUGAAGUUGCUGGGUUUUACUACGUGUCUCCUAACACCCAUAGGUGUAUGUAAUCUCACUGUAACAGAAUGUUGUCAUGUCUUGUUGACUAAUUAAGCACCCUCGUUCCAAAGCUCAGCAGCUGAAAGUUCAAGUGUUAAACGGUGGGAUAGUGAAUCCAGGAGGCAGUGAAUGAGGAGGCGACUCGGGCCCUGGCUGGGAUUUUACUUCUUGCUCUUCUGUUGUAUUAUUUUGUCUCUGUUUUGCCACAUGCUGCCUGGUUGAAGACGCCAGGAGGCUCGACACAGAGCCAAAUAUAUUGUCCAAACGUGAGAUUAAAAAUUAGAUCAUAUGUGAUAAAAGACAGCAAUUUAUUUUAGCUUGGUGUUACAUCAGGAAAGUAUGAAAAAAUAUAAUCAAUUUAUUUGCUUACUCACACAACCAAUACUGAGUGUCUGCUAUGUGCUAGACACAGGAAAAAAAUACCAGGUCUAAAAUGAUCCAUAAGGCAAGAUUCUUGCUCUUGAAACACACAAUCCACUGGGAGAGAAAGACAAGUAGUAGAAGAUUAUAGGACAGCAUCAUGAGAAUUGGGAGAAGGACUUGUUGAAUUCAGGAAAGGUGGCAUUUGAGCAGUGUAAGGACCUGUUGGAUGAACAGUGGGAAUUGAAGUAGGAGGAAAACAGAAUUUAGAAGAUCAUGAAGGACUUCCCAUUCUGCAGCAAAAACUUGGGCUUUUACUCAAGGACUUGAGGAGCUGUUGAAGAUUUCAACUGAGAAGCUUCGAGAGGAACCUUGAGACUGAGCUAGUGCCCCUCAAUGGCUGUGUGAAAGCAUGGACUCAAUGGGAGGAAAGAAUCAAACAAGUCCUGAGAGGACUCUAAAGAAAAAGAAAGGAGGCACUGAAAGACUGGGCUAAACAGUGAUGAUAGGCUCUCAAGUUAUGGAAGAAGCAUGUAAAUGGGGCUGAGCAGGUCGCUGGAGUAAGGAGAGUUGGAGUCUGCUUUGGCUACCUUGCAUGGAAAUGAUGCUGGUUGUUAAACCAAGGAAUACAGGAAAAAAGACACUGUUUAGAGAUGACAUCAUGAUUUCAGUGUGAGUCAAUUUCAGUCUGAGGCACCAAUAAGACACUCAGGAGGAGUGGGCUAGUUAACCACCCACCAGUGCCCGGAGCUCAAGAGGAAUGUCAGGGCUGGGAUGAAGGUAAUACUUCACAAAUUGAGGUAUGCUCAUGGAGAGUAGCAGGUAAUGCUUUUGAAGCAGAAAGAUUUGUCCCUGAGUUCCAACAAUUGUCUUAGCAGACAGAGUUUCAAGGUCAUCAAAUCUGUAUCCAUUGGUGGGAAGAAGAUGUCAAUCACAUUGCAUUUGAAUGAGAACCUAUCAUUUUUCAAUACAGAUAAACUGCCGGCUACACUCUCUUUGUCUGGCUUUUAAAUGUAUCCCUGGAAACUAGGCUUAACGUUUUGCCAAAAAGUGGGUAUUUGCUCUUGACCUUAGAGUAAAGGCUCUCACUUCAACAAGACUUUUAGCUACUCUCCUGAAAAGCCAAGCCUCAUACUGAUGAGAAGAAGAAAAGGAAUAGAAAUGGGAAGGAGAUCUUUAAGAUACUUUCCUGCAAGAGGAAGAAAAUAACAAUUCUUAAGUGCCGAUACAGGUCAGGCACUAUACUGAACACUUUGGAUGUGAUAUCUCUUCAAAUUUAUUUGAAUAAUAAUCAGCAGGUAGAAAUUAAACAUAGAUUCUGCACCAUUUCUUUCAGUGCUUUUGGAUGGUUUUUUGUUUGUAAUGCCUUGAAACUUACUUAAUCUCUCAUUAAGUUGCUGAGGUAUGCCUUUUAAAAUAAUAUUUGCAUAGGCCAUGAACCAGAAUGAAUAAAAGGAAAAUCCCAAGAUGUAAAACAUUGUUUUGGAAUUGAUGCCUACCCAACAUUGUGUCCUGAGUUUACUUAGCAUAUAGAAAGGAGUUCCAUACACAAUGAACGUUUGAGGAUUGAAUUUUGGUUGAAUUAACUGUGAUGAGUAAACAAAAAUUGCCAGAAGCUUCAUUGCCUCCUCCACCCCCACUGCCCCGAUGCAGUCCAGAGGCAAAGUUCUAUGUUAAGCCACUUAUAUCAUUCUUACGUAUUUAUACACAUAGUACGUAGCAUAUCUAAGCUCAUGUCUGUCUUAGGAAUUGGAAUUUUAGCAGGCAGAGAGAUUAUCACUUUAACUCUGGGGUGUUCAAUCUUUUGGCUUCCCUGGGCCAUAUCAGAAGAUGAAAAAUUGUCUUGGGCCACACAUAAAAUACACUAACACUAAUGACAGCCGAUGAGCUUAA